AGAGAGACAGGCUAGGAGGCGGGGCCUGCCUGGCCGCCAUGGUCCAGUCACUCCACGCUUGCAGAGUCCAAUUAACAAGAGCAAGUUCUGGUAGAAAGAAGGUGACUUUAUUCCAGAGCUCAGGUGUUUGAACUGAUGUCUGAUGAGGAUGAAUCCAGCGACUACCUCUGCCUGUCCAUCCUGGGCCUCUUCUGUUGCCUUCCCCUAGCCAUCCCAGCCGUGAUCUUUUCUUGCCUGGUGGGCACCUGCAUCAUGCCAAUCCUUCACCCUCCCUCUCCAUCUUGCCCCUGACCCUGACUCAACUUCUUCCUUGUUCUCCCUUCUGAACUAGGAGCCUGAGCAACACCAGCACCUCCUGUGGGUUCAGACCCCCACCCUGAGUCCUUACAGUUCCACAGCCCACCCUCACCCAACAACUGUUUUUUUUUUUUUUGAAACAGAGUCUCGCUCUGUCACCCAAGCUGGAGUGCAGUGGUGAGAUCUCAGCUCACCGCAACCUCCAUCUCGCAGGUUCAAACAAUUAUCCUGCCUCAGCUUCCUGAGUAGCUGGGAUUAGAGGCGCCCACCAACACGCCUGGCUAAUUUUCGUAUUUUUGGUGGAGCUGGGUUUCACCAUGUUGGCCAGGCUGGUCUUGAACACCUGACCUCAGGUGAUCUGCCCACCUCAGCUUCCCAAAGUGCUGGGAUUACAGGCAUGAGCCACCAUGCCCGGCCACGCAAUAACUCUUUUAUACUCAUCUUUCCCUGUUCCCUCUCUCCUAAAACUCAGACAAAGUUUGUAUUGUAGACAAAGAACUACAAUAAAUCCAGUGACUAUGAGCUGGCAGCCAAGACCUCCAAACAAGCCUACUACUGGGCCAUCGCGAGCAUCACUGUGGGAAUCUUAGGUACCAUCUUGUACACCUACCUGAUAUACUUACUUAGAUUGUAAACUGCUUCCCAGCUCUUGAACAAACCACCAAAUAUACACCACAGUGCAAUU
This is a long non-coding RNA of Homo sapiens (human), 982 nucleotides long. Ensembl annotates it as long intergenic non-protein coding RNA 1766. NCBI's taxonomy places the organism in Eukaryota, Metazoa, Chordata, Mammalia, Primates, Hominidae. The record is from Ensembl.